Apis florea (little honeybee) is the source of this 1379-nucleotide long non-coding RNA. The record is from RefSeq and is a predicted model, not a curated record. NCBI's taxonomy places the organism in Eukaryota, Metazoa, Arthropoda, Insecta, Hymenoptera, Apidae.
AUAGAGAUGAACGAGUUAAAGGAAUAUAUAGUGUGAGAAUCUGAGACUGAAAGAGUUGUUUACACUUACUCAUGCGGGUUAUCGGAAGUAUCGACUUGGAUCAUCAUACGAUCAGAGGAUUUUAUGCGGGCAUUGCAAAUUAAAUGGGUCGUGCAAAAUACGAUACUCUUUCCAUUGUGAUGUUUAUCCAUAAAUAAGUAUCUUUUAUUAUAUAAUGUCAGCUAAAAUCGUAUCGAUUCCCAAAGUUUGUCUGACUAAAGAGAUCGAGCGUCUCCGUUUCCGAUGAAACGGUUCUACAAUAUGGGUUCCAGAUUUCAGGGUGACGACAGAGGGUUAGAGAGAGAGAGAGAGAGAAGGAAAGAGAACAAGAGCGUUGCUCGCUAUUGUUUUCUCGAGUGGUACUCGCUGGUUCAAUGCUCGCCCGCUCUGGUAGACCGGUACCAGAUGUACCCGGACCGCCUGGUUUCAACUUUGAUACCAUACAACGCCAUGCGUCACGGUUACACCAUCACCACCUAGCUUCCCAAAAUUUUUUUUUUAUUCUUCGUAUCAAAAAUAACACCUUACUAUUGAUAAAAAUUGAACUUUUUGUUUUAGAAAGGAUUGAUUGAGAGGAUUUUUGGAAAACAUGAAGAUAUGAAAAAAUUCGCGGAAGAGAAUAUCGCGAAUUAAUUAAAUUAUAUUUCUAUACUUUUUUUUUUUGUUCAAGUGAAUACAAUAAAAAAGUUUCCACGUGUGAUGUGCAAGUUAGUGUAUAAUGAAAAGGAUUUAUAUAUUCCUUUUAAUUGGUUGUACACGAACGAUAUGUAUGCACGACGGAUAUCCGAUAAAACUGAAGUCAUGACAACAAGGCUAUAAAAUAAGGUUAAAAUUUUGCAACGAAAUGAGAUUAUUCAUCAUAUUGUAUCAUAUAUGACAAAAUCUACAGGAAUGGAUAACGUUUGAAUUAAUAUUCCGUAUUACAAACAAUGAUUAGACACAACCAUGAUAUUGUAAUAUCAGAAUAUAUUAUAAUUAAACUUGUCGUGAAUAGAUGAAUAAUCUUCACAAAGUUUAAAAUUUUUUUUUUAAGUGAACUAAAUUGCAUUGGCUAACAAUAAUUAUACAAGAAAACAUUUAACAUGAUUACUUGAGUUUUGAUUGUACAAUUCAAUUUAUGUUAACAAAUCGCGUUCGCUUAAAGAUUGUUCCUUCUAUUUCUAUCUGAAUUUUUAUAGCCAAGGUGCAAUCUUCAGCGAUGGUUGUUAUCGUACAGUUCCUUGUGAAUGUGUAUAUUCACAUUAAAGUUCAUAUAAAAUUAUACUUGAUACUGCUUAUAUUCCUAAUGUGUUAUGAAUAAUAAUUGCCAUCAUAGAUCAUAUUAUGCAUCUAUUAUAUCU